AACGAACGCUGGCGGCAGGCCUAACACAUGCAAGUCGAACGGGAUCUUCGGGUCUAGUGGCGGACGGGUGAGUAACGCGUGGGAACGUGCCCUUUGGUUCGGAAUAACCCGGGGAAACUGGGAGUAAUACCGGAUAAGCCCUACGGGGGAAAGAUUUAUCGCCAAAGGAUCGGCCCGCGUUGGAUUAGGUAGUUGGUGAAGUAAUGGCUCACCAAGCCGACGAUCCAUAGCUGGUUUGAGAGGAUGAUCAGCCACACUGGGACUGAGACACGGCCCAGACUCCUACGGGAGGCAGCAGUGGGGAAUCUUAGACAAUGGGGGAAACCCUGAUCUAGCCAUGCCGCGUGAUCGAUGAAGGCCUUAGGGUUGUAAAGAUCUUUCAGUGGGGAAGAUAAUGACUGUACCCACAGAAGAAGCCCCGGCUAACUCCGUGCCAGCAGCCGCCGUAA
RNAcentral lists this ribosomal RNA (449 nucleotides) under uncultured bacterium. RNAcentral's name for it is "partial 16S ribosomal RNA". It matches the Rfam family "Bacterial small subunit ribosomal RNA", at positions 29 to 523 of the family's 1533-position model. The record is from RNAcentral.